RNAcentral lists this ribosomal RNA (447 nucleotides) under uncultured bacterium. Its description in RNAcentral is "bacterial SSU rRNA". It matches the Rfam family "Bacterial small subunit ribosomal RNA", at positions 355 to 825 of the family's 1533-position model. The record is from RNAcentral.
UCGGGAAUUUUGGGCAAUGGGCGAAAGCCUGACCCAGCAACGCCGCGUGAAGGAUGAAGUAUUUCGGUAUGUAAACUUCGUAAGAAUAGGAAGAAUAAAUGACGGUACUAUUUGUAAGGUCCGGCUAACUACGUGCCAGCAGUCGCGGUAAUACGUAGGGACCAAGCGUUGUUCGGAUUUACUGGGCGUAAAGGGCGCGUAGGCGGUGUGUCAAGUCAGUUGUGAAAUCUCCGAGCUUAACUCGGAACGGUCAACUGAUACUGUCACACUAGAGUACAGAAGGGGCAAUCGGAAUUCUUGGUGUAGCGGUGAAAUGCGUAGAUAUCAAGAGGAACACCUGAGGCGAAGGCGGGUUGCUGGGCUGAUACUGACGCUGAGGCGCGAAAGCUAGGGUAGCAAACGGGAUUAGAUACCCCCGUAGUCCCUGAGCGGGCUGGCAAGGCGCAU